GGACGAAGCGGAAGUGACGGUACCUGCAGAAGAAGCACCGGCCAACUACGUGCCAGCAGCCGCGGUAAUACGUAGGGUGCAAGCGUUGUCCGGAAUUAUUGGGCGUAAAGAGCUCGUAGGCGGUUCGUCGCGUCGGCUGUGAAAUCCCGGAGCUCAACUCCGGGUCUGCAGUCGAUACGGGCGGACUUGAGUUCGGCAGGGGAGACUGGAAUUCCUGGUGUAGCGGUGAAAUGCGCAGAUAUCAGGAGGAACACCGGUGGCGAAGGCGGGUCUCUGGGCCGAUACUGACGCUGAGGAGCGAAAGCGUGGGGAGCGAACAGGAUUAGAUACCCUGGUAGUCCACGCCGUAAACGUUGGGCGCUAGGUGUGGGGGCCAUUCCACGGUCUCCGUGCCGCAGCUAACGCAUUAAGCGCCCCGCCUGGGGAGUACGGCCGCAAGGCUAAAACUCAAAGGAAUUGACGGGGGCCCGCACAAGCGGCGGAGCAUGUUGCUUAAUUCGAUGCAACGCGAAGAACCUUACCUAGGCUUGACAUGCACGGAAAUCUUCCAGAGAUGGGAGGUCCGUAAGGGUCGUGCACAGGUGGUGCAUGGUUGUCGUCAGCUCGUGUCGUGAGAUGUU
Molecule: ribosomal RNA, 620 nt
Filed under: uncultured bacterium
Lineage: Bacteria
Description: bacterial SSU rRNA
Rfam family: Bacterial small subunit ribosomal RNA
Source: RNAcentral